RNAcentral lists this long non-coding RNA (452 nucleotides) under Brassica napus (rape). RNAcentral's name for it is "long non-coding RNA (BNAP_LNC008340)". The record is from RNAcentral. Lineage: Eukaryota; Viridiplantae; Streptophyta; Magnoliopsida; Brassicales; Brassicaceae.
UCCACAAAUAAUCUUGUUAUCCUAAUUUUUAAAUCACAAACCCUAAUCUACAGCAAUUCUCUAAAAAAAUGAAAACUUUCCAAAAAUAGCAGUUUUUAAGAAAAUUAUUUAAAAAUACAACCUAUUGAUGAAAAACUCAUAAAGAAUACUCUUCCAUCCACAAAUAUUCUUGUUAUCCUAAUUUCUAAAUCACAAACCCUAAUCUACAAUUUUUACCAAAAUAAUGAAAAUUUUCCAAAAAUAGCAAUUUUUAAGAAAAAUAUUUAAAAAUAUAAGCCAUAGAUUAAAAAUUCAAAAAGAAUACUCAUCUAUCCACAAAUAAUCCUGUUAUCCUAAUUUCUAAAUCACAAACCUUAAUCUACAGUAUUUCUCUAAAAAAUGAAAACUUUCCGAAAAUAGCAGUUUUAAGAAAAUUAUUGAAAAAUACAACCUAUUGAUGAAAAACUCAGAAA